RNAcentral lists this ribosomal RNA (253 nucleotides) under uncultured bacterium. RNAcentral describes it as "partial 16S ribosomal RNA". It matches the Rfam family "Bacterial small subunit ribosomal RNA", at positions 524 to 776 of the family's 1533-position model. The record is from RNAcentral.
GACAGAGGGUGCAAACGUUGUUCGGAAUUACUGGGCGUAAAGCGCACGUAGGCGGCCGAUUAAGUCGGGUGUGAAAGCCCAGGGCUCAACCCUGGAAGUGCACUCGAAACUGGACGGCUUGAAUAUGGAAGAGGGUUGCGGAAUUCCCGGUGUAGAGGUGAAAUUCGUAGAUAUCGGGAGGAACACCAGUGGCGAAGGCGGCAACCUGGGCCAAUAUUGACGCUGAGGUGCGAAAGCGUGGGGAGCAAACAGG